CCUGGAAUGAUACUACUGUAUGAACCUCAUGAAUCUAACUAUUUGCACGAAUCUGAAAGCAUUCUCAAAUGGAACGGUUCCACUUAUAGUCUUAGACAUAGCCACAAUAAGCCACAGGACAAGUUAUAUGCUAUUAUAAUAUGCAACUAUAACACUGACAAAUCUAACGAAUCUAACAACCCCCCUUACGAUUCACGAUUUGAACAAAGUCGAGUGUAUUGGACAUAAAUUCAAUAUAAUGCCAGAAAUACUUUUCUUAAAGUUUAAACAUAGGCGUAAAUUUAUCAAUUUGCCAUCACUUAAAAUUUACACUCAAUGAAUUUUUUUU
Molecule: non-coding RNA, 328 nt
Organism: Paramuricea clavata
Lineage: Eukaryota; Metazoa; Cnidaria; Anthozoa; Malacalcyonacea; Plexauridae
Source: the annotation of a GenBank genome assembly